This 1812-nucleotide long non-coding RNA is filed under the name Sus scrofa (pig). RNAcentral's name for it is "lncRNA (ENSSSCG00070000594.1)". The record is from RNAcentral. Lineage: Eukaryota; Metazoa; Chordata; Mammalia; Artiodactyla; Suidae.
GCCCGCGUCCCGGCCGAUGCGGGGGACGCGAACCGCGUCGGGCCCGCGCAAUCUCGGCCAAGAGUGCCACCGAGCUCCCGUCUCUUCGGACCCGCCCCGCGGGCCCCGCAGCAGGCGCCUGGCCGGGCCCCGGGUCCUCCGCGCGGCGCGAGGGCUUGUUCGGGCCCGGCCGCGGGUCGUCGGUGGUGCUUCGGGCCCAGGCAGCGAGGCAACGGGGAAAGGCCAGUCCCGCCGGCAGGCGCGCUCCGGGAACCGGGCCGGGGUGGUCGGCCGGCCCCAAGCUCUCCCGGCCGCGGCCGCCCGCACAAGCGGCGGGAAGGAGGAAGCCAGGAAGAAAAAUAAACCCCGUCUCCGCCGCCGGCUCCCUCCCGCCCGCUCCCCUCCCCCCUCGGGACGCGGGGUCCAUUUUGCCGAGAAGAAAGAAAAUGCGAUUCACACCCAAGAGCUUCCGAGAGAGAAAAGCAACGAGGGGGGGAAAACCGAGCCCCGCUCCCUCCUUCCCGGCUCCCGGCGGCUCCGGGGGGGCGGAAAACACACUCACACUCGCGCACACAACUAAUUUUAAACCGGCUCAAUCAAUGAGUCAUUAAAAGGCUUCCCUCCCCUCUCCUCCCCACCACCAACCGCCACGCCACCCCCCUUCCCAGGCUCUCCCUCUCCCCGCUCCAGAAAUUUGCAUCCGCGGAAAAGGAAAAAAAAAAAAAAAAAAAGGCGCCGGGCCCCACCCCGCCGAAGCGCCCCCAGCCCGGCCCCGCCGCCCCCUGCCCGCCCGCGCCCCGCCCGAGACACUGAACUUGGUCUUCCCGGGGCCCGGGCAUCGCUGGGAAAGACAUAAACACUCGAUUCCCCUUUUCUCCGUGUCCAUUAAACAUCCACCCACCACCACCAUCACCCACCCACAAACCCACCCCCCCCAAAAAAAAAACACAGCCUUAGCCAAUAGCUCUCUGGGCUGAAACCUAAUAUCCUGGUUUUGGCAACUCGGUGUUUAAUUUGCUCCUCUUUCUUUUCUGUCUGUCUGGAGAUAGAUCUCCAGCCCCCCUCCCUCGCUUUUCCCCUCCCCGAAGGAAAGAGGCAGAGGAAGGAGGUUGUGUGUGUUUUUUUUUUUUCUCCUUGAAAUUUUUAUCACAAAAUUAUAAUACACUCAAAGGGAAACUCACCGUCAUGAAAAGCAGUGCCUUGUCAACGGGGUUUCUGCGCCAUCGCACCAGGGGCGGCGGCGGCGGCGGCGGCGGCGGCGGCGGGCGCGGGGCGCGGGGCGCGGGCGCGGGAGCUCCCGGCCGAGCGGCGCCGGCCACACGCGCUCCGCUCUCUCUCUCGCUCACCCCCGCGCCGGGCGGCGGGCGCCCGCUCCCCGCGCCCGCCCGGCCUUCAUGCUCUGCGCCCGGGCAAACCGCUCGCCUGCUCGUCUACCUCCAAACUUCGGUUCUCGCCUAGCAAAAAACGUGGAGAUUAGGAUUUUUUUAAUUAAAAAAAAAAAUUUUUUUUAAGAAAACCCAAGCUCCAGAGCUGUUAAUUCCUGUUUCCUUUGGGAUUCUUUUUAACUUCAAGAAAUGUAGUGGUUUAUUCAAGAAACAGGGUUUUUUGGCUUUUUUUUUUUUUUUUUAAGAUCUACAAGAUGCGUGCUAUUCUCCGCAGGCGCUCUGCGCGCACACACACACACACACACACAAUCCAGUUUUAGCUGGGGGGAGGAGAGGCAGGAGGGGAAUUUAAAAACAAAAAACACAAUAUUUCUUUAUAACUCUAAUUAGAACAAGUCCCAGUAAAUACUUUUUUGCAUAUGCUUAAAUAAAAAACCCGAAAACAUCA